RNAcentral lists this non-coding RNA (184 nucleotides) under Lacticaseibacillus paracasei ATCC 334. RNAcentral's name for it is "Lactobacillus casei ATCC 334 Enterococcus sRNA B11". It matches the Rfam family "Enterococcus sRNA B11". Rfam says of the family: Name 'Ref' stands for RNA in E. faecalis. The record is from Rfam by way of RNAcentral. Lineage: Bacteria; Bacillati; Bacillota; Bacilli; Lactobacillales; Lactobacillaceae.
GGCAACUGCCUCGUUUGGAGGUGAUCCUAUGCUGCGUGAUUUCUUCUUCCAGAUUAUCGCCCCGCUUCUUGUGGGUGUGAUGGUCACACUGGUCGAUCAUUGGUUAGAUGGUGGCCAGUAAGCCAACUGCAGUUGCUUACUAACCCACACGCCUGAUUAGGCCCGCUUCUAAACAGGUGAAAAA